This 206-nucleotide ribosomal RNA is filed under the name uncultured Pseudomonas sp. Its description in RNAcentral is "partial 16S ribosomal RNA". It matches the Rfam family "Bacterial small subunit ribosomal RNA", at positions 1179 to 1382 of the family's 1533-position model. Lineage: Bacteria; Pseudomonadati; Pseudomonadota; Gammaproteobacteria; Pseudomonadales; Pseudomonadaceae. The record is from RNAcentral.
AUGACGUCAAGUCAUCAUCGGCCCUUACGGCCGUGGGCUACACACGUGCUACAAUGGUCGGUACAAAGGGUUGCCAAGCCGCGAGGUGGAGCUAAUCCCAUAAAACCGAUCGUAGUCCGGAUCGCAGUCUGCAACUCGACUGCGUGAAGUCGGAAUCGCUAGUAAUCGUGAAUCAGAAUGUCACGGUGAAUACGUUCCCGGGCCUU